Molecule: microRNA precursor, 209 nt
Organism: Oryza sativa Indica Group (long-grained rice)
Lineage: Eukaryota; Viridiplantae; Streptophyta; Magnoliopsida; Poales; Poaceae
Rfam family: MIR812 microRNA precursor family
Source: Rfam
UUUUAGUGUAUGACGUCGUUGACUUUUUAUCCAACGUUUGACCAUUCGUUUUAUUCAAAAAAUUUAUGUAAUUAUCAUUUAUUUUAUUAUGACUUGAUUCAUCAUCAAAUAUUCUUUAAGCAUAACAUAAAUAUUUUCAUAUUUGCACAAAAAUUUUAAACAAAACGAAUAGUCAAACGUUGGUCAAAAAGUCAACGGCGUCAUAUAUA